RNAcentral lists this ribosomal RNA (459 nucleotides) under uncultured bacterium. RNAcentral describes it as "bacterial SSU rRNA". It matches the Rfam family "Bacterial small subunit ribosomal RNA", at positions 340 to 786 of the family's 1533-position model. The record is from RNAcentral.
UACGGAAGGCAGCAGUGGGGAAUAUUGCACAAUGGGCGCAAGCCCGAUGCAGCCAUGCCGCGUGUAUGAAGAAGGCCUUCGGGUUGUAAAGUACUUUCAGUCGUGAGGAAGGUGUUAAGGUUAAUAACCUUAAGCAAUUGACGUUAGCGACAGAAGAAGCACCGGCUAACUCCGUGCCAGCAGCCGCGGUAAUACGGAGGGUGCGAGCGUUAAUCGGAAUUACUGGGCGUAAAGGGCACGCAGGCGGUUAAUUAAGUUGGAUGUGAAAUCCCCGGGCUUAACCUGGGAAUGGCAUUCAAGACUGGUUAGCUAGAGUCUUGUAGAGGGGGGUAGAAUUCCAUGUGUAGCGGUGAAAUGCGUAGAGAUGUGGAGGAAUACCGGUGGCGAAAGGCGGCCCCCUGGGACAAAGACUGACGCUCAUGUGCGAAAGCGUGGGGAGCAAAACAGGGAUUAGAUACC